CUUUGACUUGUUCACAUGUUCCUGAAUUGAUGGGCUCCUCCUGUUUCUUUCUAGGGUUUUCCUAGAACCGUGCUGUAGUAAACAUGGUUUCAUCCGAGGGUCUGAGCAGCAUUUCCCAGUGGAGGAAAAGGCACCUCACAGGGAUGUGAAGGGUGCCCACUAAAUACACAUUUUACCCAAAGGGACCCUGCCACUCACUGAGGAGGAGGCUGAUGAAUACCAGGAGCCCAGUCAUCCAGAAGAAGGACCGGUUCUUGGAGCAGGACCCCAUGGCAGGUUGCCUGCUGGCCUGUUCAGCUGCAGCGGAAACAGAAGAGAGGAAGAGAACUGCUCUGCAGAUUUCCAGGAGAGAGGAUAUUCAAGAUUGGCUCGAUUCUGACUACCCCACGUGGUAAAGAGGAAGUUACUGCAAGCAAGAGAGAUCAGAUUGUUACUGUGUCUAUGUAGAAAGAAGUAGACAUAGGAGACUCCAUUUUGUUCUGUACUAAGAAAAAUUCUUCUGCCUUGAGAUUCUGUUAAUCUAUAACCUUACCCCCAACCCCGUGCUCUCUGAAUCGUGUGCUGUGUCAACUCAGAGUUAAAUGGAUUAAGGGCGGUGCAAGAUGUGCUUUGUUAAACAGAUGCUUGAAGGCAGCAUGCUCCUUAAGAGUCAUCACCACUCCCUAAUCUCAAGUACCCAGGGACACAAAAACUGCGGAAGGCCGCAGGGACCUCUGCCUAGGAAAGCCAGGUAUUGUCCAAGGUUUCUCCCCAUGUGAUAGUCUGAAAUAUGGCCUCGUGGGAAGGGAAAGACCUGACCGUCCCCCAGCCCGACACCCGUAAAGGGUCUGUGCUGAGGAGGAUUAGUAAAAGAGGAAGGAAUGCCUCUUGCAGUUGAGACAAGAGGAAGGCAUCUGUCUCCUGCCUGUCCCUGGGCAAUGGAAUGUCUCGGUAUAAAACCCGAUUGUACGUUCCAUCUACUGAGAUAGGGAAAAACCGCCUUAGGGCCGGAGGUGGGACCUGCGGGCAGCAAUACUGCUCUGUAAGGCAUUGAGAUGUUUAUGUGUAUGCAUAUCUAAAGCACAGCACUUAAUCCUUUACCUUGUCUAUGAUGCAAAGACCUUUGUUCACGUGUUUGUCUGCUGACCCUCUCCCCACAAUUGUCUUGUGACCCUGACACAUCCCCCUCUUGGAGAAACACCCACAAAUGAUCAAUAAAUACUAAGGGAACUCAGAGGCUGGCGGGAUCCUCCAUAGGGGAUCCUCCAUAUGGGAUCCUCCAUAUGCUGAACGCUGGUUCCCCGGGUCCCCUUAUUUCUUUCUAUAUACUUUGUCUCUGUGUCUUUUUCUUUCCUAAGUCUCUCGUUCCACCUUACGAGAAACACCCACAGGUGUGUAGGGGCAACCCACCCCUACAAUAUCACAGCCGCUCUCCCAUCCCACUGUG
Molecule: long non-coding RNA, 1426 nt
Filed under: Pan paniscus (pygmy chimpanzee)
Lineage: Eukaryota; Metazoa; Chordata; Mammalia; Primates; Hominidae
Description: lncRNA (ENSPPAG00000044415.1)
Source: RNAcentral